Amphimedon queenslandica is the source of this 496-nucleotide long non-coding RNA. RefSeq lists it as uncharacterized. NCBI's taxonomy places the organism in Eukaryota, Metazoa, Porifera, Demospongiae, Haplosclerida, Niphatidae. The transcript is spliced from 2 exons. The record is from RefSeq and is a predicted model, not a curated record.
AAGAAUUCAAGACACCAUUGACUCCAAUAAAGCUAGAUAUUAAAGAUCUUGAUAUUGUCAUUGAAGAGCUAACAAUACUCAAUCAAUUGGAUUGUACUAAAUGGUAUCAGUUUGGACUUCAUUUAGGAUUAUAUGAUCCAACACUAAAUGCUAUAAAGAUGGAUCAUGGACAAUGCAAGCCAUGUCUGAUACAGUGUAUGUCUGCCUGGUUAAGAGGAGAAGAUAAAGUAAGAGAGAAAGGAGGUCCCAGUUGGUCAUCAUUAGCUACAGCACUGGAUACAAUAGCAGAGAAAUCUAUUGCUAGUUACAUUAGAGAUAAAUAUUGUCAAUAAUUAGUUAGAGGAUGAUUGUCUAUAGUAUUUCAUUUUGUUCUGUUUAUUAUUAUUUUUGCUGAUACUUGCUGAUUCAUUUGUUAAUUAGUUGAGUUGUAAAAGCUGAGCUGUCAUCAUGUACUAAUUUCCCUAUCUCUAUAGAAUUAUCACUGAUAGUAUCAAAC